This 304-nucleotide ribosomal RNA is filed under the name Asanada sp. CES07228. RNAcentral describes it as "partial 28S ribosomal RNA". It matches the Rfam family "Eukaryotic large subunit ribosomal RNA", at positions 705 to 945 of the family's 3401-position model. The record is from RNAcentral. Lineage: Eukaryota; Metazoa; Arthropoda; Chilopoda; Scolopendromorpha; Scolopendridae.
AACCCGAAGGCGCAAUGAAAGUGAAAGUCGGCAUUGCCUGGCCGACUGAGGCGGGAUCCGUCCGGGAAUCGCUGCAGCUCUCGUCAAGGGGGCUGUGGGAGCCCGGCGGCGCACCGCCGGCCCGUCUCGACCGCUUCUCGUCGGCGAGGCGGAGCAAGAGCGCACACGUUGGGACCCGAAAGAUGGUGAACUAUGCUCGGGCAGGACGAAGCCAGAGGAACUCUGGUGGAGGUCCGUAGCGAUUCUGACGUGCAAAUCGAUCGUCGGACCUGAGUAUAGGGGCGAAAGACUAAUCGAACCGUCU